UCCUGGCCGAGGUGUCCCCGCGGGGCUUCCUGCGCUCCCUGGGCGACGCGGAGGAGCUGGGUGCUGCUGGGGAGGGGGCUCCCCUCUACGCCUUCCAGCCCCCCCCUGCCCGCCGCACAGGUACUGCUCCCCGUGCCCUGCCAUUGGUUAGCAGCUGCCUGCCCGCGCUGCUCUGAUUGGCUGGGAGCAGCUCCAGCAGAGCAUCCUGGCCCAGCUGCGGGCCCUGCUGCGGGGAGAGGUGCGGGCGCAGGGCGCGGGAGCGCUCUUCCGCAUCCGCCUGGCCGGGGGCUCGGCCCCCUGCGCCUACCUGUCCCCGCAGGACCCCCGCCCUCUCUGCCACCCGGCCGUCGACAGAGCCCUGCAGCUGAGCGGGGCAGGUGGCCCUCCCCAUGUGAAGCUGACGGUGGAGUGGGACAUGAGCACCAAAGAGCGCCUUUUCGGCAACAUCCAGGAGGAGGUGGUGCAGGACGCCGAGAGCGUGCGGCUGCAGCAGCAAGCACACCGGCAGCAGCACAGCUGCACGCUGGACGAGUGCUUCCAGCUCUACACCAAGGAGGAGCAGGUACCUGGCACCCCCGAGCCACGCGGGCAGCGGGCACCCUGCCUGCACCCUGCCUGCACCCAGCAGAACUGCCACCGAGUGCAAGCCCUGCCCACAGCAUGGCAGCUGUGGGCAUUUUCAGUGCCGAGGGUGGCUUUGGAGGUGGUAGGGGGGUGUUGUAGGGGGAGGUGACAUGGCACGUGGUGUCCCCAGCUGGCCCCGGAUGACGCCUGGUGCUGCCCGCACUGCAAGGUGCCGCAGCAGGGCACGGUGAAGCUGAGCCUCUGGACGCUGCCUGACAUCCUCAUCAUCCACCUCAAGCGCUUUCGCCAGGUGGCUGAGCACCGGCACAAACUCACCACGCUGGUGAGGUUCCCUCUGCGGGGUCUCGACAUGGCCCCCCACGUGGCACAGCGGGGCCAGGCUGGUGGGCAGCUGUUGGGGCGCUGGGCGCCCUGGCAGCCCCCCCUCUGCCUGCCCCCGAGCUGCCCCCGUGACUACCUCUACGACCUCUACGCCGUCUGCAACCACCACGGCAGCAUGCAGGGCGGCCACUACACUGGUGAGCGGGGCGGGGGGGGCAUGGCAGGAGGGUGGGGGACACUUCAGGGGGCAUGGUGUGGGGUUUGAGGGCACUGCAGG
RNAcentral lists this long non-coding RNA (1183 nucleotides) under Athene cunicularia (burrowing owl). RNAcentral's name for it is "lncRNA (ENSACUG00000015090.1)". Lineage: Eukaryota; Metazoa; Chordata; Aves; Strigiformes; Strigidae. The record is from RNAcentral.